AACGAACGCUGGCGGCAGGCUUAACACAUGCAAGUCGAGCGCCCCGCCAGGGGAGCGGCGGACUGGUGGGUAGCGCGUGGGGACGUACCCUUAUCUUCGGGAUAGCUCCGGGAUACUGGAAUCAAUACGGAAUGUGGGCUUUGGGGGGAAGAGUUAUCGUAUAAGGAUCGGGGCGUGUGGGAUUGGCGGGGGGGUGGGGUAAAGGCCUAGCAAGGCGACGUUUCAUGGCUGGUAUGGGAGGCUGAGAAGUCACAUUGGGACUGAGACACGGCCCCCACUCCUACGCGAGGGAGCAGAGGGGAAUAUAGGAGAAUGGGCGCAAGCCUGAUACAGCCACGCGGGGUGAGUGAUGCAGGGCUUAGGGUUGUAAAGCUCUUUGAGCGGAGAAGAUAAUGACGGUAUCCGGAGAAGAAGCCCCGGCUAACUUCGUG
Molecule: ribosomal RNA, 431 nt
Filed under: uncultured bacterium
Lineage: Bacteria
Description: partial 16S ribosomal RNA
Rfam family: Bacterial small subunit ribosomal RNA
Source: RNAcentral